UCGAGGAUCUUCGGCAAUGGGCGCAAGCCUGACCGAGCGACGCCGCGUGCGCGAUGAAGGCCUUCGGGUUGUAAAGCGCUGUCGAGGGGGAGGAAAGCCGCAAGGCCUGACCUAUCCCUGGAGGAAGCACGGGCUAAGUUCGUGCCAGCAGCCGCGGUAAGACGAACCGUGCGAACGUUGUUCGGAAUCACUGGGCUUAAAGGGCGCGUAGGCGGGUUGUCAAGUCGGGGGUGAAAUCGUUCGGCCCAACCGGACAAGGGCCCCCGAUACUGGCAGUCUUGAGGGAGGUAGGGGUCGGUGGAACUUCCGGUGGAGCGGUGAAAUGCGUAGAUAUCGGAAGGAACGCCGGUGGCGAAAGCGGCCGACUGGACCUCUUCUGACGCUGAGGCGCGAAAGCUAGGGGAGCGAACGGGAUUAGAUACCCCCGUAGUCC
Molecule: ribosomal RNA, 433 nt
Filed under: uncultured bacterium
Lineage: Bacteria
Description: bacterial SSU rRNA
Rfam family: Bacterial small subunit ribosomal RNA
Source: RNAcentral